This is a long non-coding RNA of Bubalus bubalis (water buffalo), 389 nucleotides long. RefSeq lists it as uncharacterized. The transcript is spliced from 3 exons. The record is from RefSeq and is a predicted model, not a curated record. Lineage: Eukaryota; Metazoa; Chordata; Mammalia; Artiodactyla; Bovidae.
CUCUCCUGGUCAGGCUUCAUCUUUUAUCAUUUUCCCCUCCAGACUUUUAGGGGGGAACAGCUCUAAACAGCUCUAAGGAAAAGAUUAUAACUCCCAGUGGUUGGCCAGAGGAAAGAGCCAGCUCCUGAAACACAGGAAAUGAAUGAGAAAAACAAAGACAGCCUGGCAGAAAGCGGUUGUGUUCGAUGUAUCAAGAUGGACCUUGGGAAACGUGGAAGGGGUACCCUCAGGAUGCCUGAGAAAGGUCUUCAAGAUGACACAUCACAAGCCUCGUGCUGGAAAUUUGCAGUGAGAACCAGAUACAAACCUCCAUGGAUACAACAGCAGUCUCCGGAUUAUCUUCGGCACAAACUUCUGCCUUCUUGUGAGCAUGAACGAAAAAAGGUGCA